RNAcentral lists this long non-coding RNA (648 nucleotides) under Cyanistes caeruleus (blue tit). Its description in RNAcentral is "lncRNA (ENSCCEG00000019467.1)". The record is from RNAcentral. Lineage: Eukaryota; Metazoa; Chordata; Aves; Passeriformes; Paridae.
GCCCCUGGGUGCUCUGAUCACUAUUUGCUCUCUGUUAUCUUGUUUGGAGCACUGCCAGCCAGCCAGCCAGCCCGUGAGGGAGAUUUGCAGGCUGCCUACAAGCUCUUGUGAAAACCUUGUCUAGAUGGGAAGGAUGUGGGAGUCCGUGUUGAUGAUACAGCUGAAUGGAUGGAGCUGUUUUACCUCUUCAUUUAUCAUUAUCAUUAUAAUUUAAUUAUCAUUGCCUUAUCAUUUUCAGCUUAAUUGAAAUGUAAGCACCCUGGACCUAGGGGAUCAGCACAGGAACUGAACAGACAUCUCCAAGAUGAAUCUUAGCUGGCAAGCAAUGUUCAUAUAGAAUUAUGUUUUAAGUUUCUAAGAUCAUCUGAAAAAACCCAGCCCAGGGUGACCAGUUUAGUGUUCUGCCUGCUCUUGAUUAAAGAUGCUGAGAUAGCUGCACUACCUGUCAUCCAUUCUCUGUGGAAAGAUUUGAAAUUUGCCAGUGCUCUCUUUCACUAUGGGUCAGAAACCAGGGACAGUUCAAGAAUUUGAAGCCAAGAUUUGAUGCUGCAGAAUUUCAGAUAAAAGCUGUGAGGUAAAGAGGAAAUGUGCAGAACAUCUCAGAGUUUCAUAUUCAGAUUCCCUUGGAGAAAAAAAACAUCUUUAAGA